Vicia faba (fava bean) is the source of this 297-nucleotide non-coding RNA. The record is from the annotation of a GenBank genome assembly. Lineage: Eukaryota; Viridiplantae; Streptophyta; Magnoliopsida; Fabales; Fabaceae.
AUGAGCCGCCGCUUGCAUGAAAGAGAACAUGUUGAAGAAGAUCGAAGCAACGAAGGUGAUGAUUUUCGUUGGAGUUUGAAGCAAAGAUCGAAGGAGAUAGAGGUGGCUUUGUUCGUUUCACGGAGGAGGCGCAAUUUUACACCGCUCAUAAGAGUAUUGCGCGCCUCUCAGCUUCGGUUUCGAUGCAUCUUAACUUUUGGAUUUCGAAGCCGCGAUUUGACCGUGUCUGCACCUCAACUUCAUCUUUGGAAUUCAAAGAUUGGAGAUGUUGUUAACGAUGUUGCAGUAGAUAGAUGA